This is a long non-coding RNA of Prinia subflava (tawny-flanked prinia), 1413 nucleotides long. RefSeq lists it as uncharacterized. The transcript is spliced from 3 exons. The record is from RefSeq and is a predicted model, not a curated record. Lineage: Eukaryota; Metazoa; Chordata; Aves; Passeriformes; Cisticolidae.
ACUGGCUGACAGACACAGAGCUGUGACACAGACAGGUUGCUGAGAAAGCCACCUUUGGGAAACAGAUGUGCAGAUCCUGCAGCUUGUACAACCCCCAGCCCCAUGAACUCCGUGCCCUGGAGUGAGAGCCCAGCCCUUUUCUGGCCAUCACCCAGCUGUGGCCACUUGGCCCUGAGGCUGUGCAGGUGAGUGAGGAGCUGCCCAGCACCUCAGCCUGCUCUGAGACACGCAGUUGGAUCUGCCUUUUCCUUGCUGCAACUCGGGUUCUUCUGGCAAAACCAACCCACAAUCUCCAGUAUCAACAUGCAGCACAGACAAGGCUAGAGGCAAGAAUUUCUCACCAGGUGCAGAACUCUGAUUAGAGCAGAUAUAAAUAACGAGUGUGAGAAACAGCUCGACCUGUCUGAUGAUGUGACACUGCCUGUACUUCAUUCCUCAUCCUGGGAAGGCACUCCUGAACUUUGUGGCUUCAUAUGAAGUUUGCAAGAUCAAUUGUAACACAGGACCUGGGUACCUCAUCAGACAUUCACCUGCUGAGAUGUGUGCAGCACACUAUGGCAGGCACUGGCUUGGGUGGCCUGGAAGAUCUCACCAAGAAGCCCAAGUCCCAUUAAUGCCACAUGAACAAAGUUUGCUCUGUGGUCACUUUGAGGUUACCAAGACACUGAAAUUGCAUUUUAACUGUGGAUUUGGUUAGGUUUUUCUCAUAGUUAGGAAUUGGUGGCAAUUGCUCUCAGUUAUCCAUCCAAAUGUGAAUUGAUUUGCUGUGGUUUGUUUCCCUUUGGCUGUGGUUACUGUGUCAGCAAGGAGAAGGAGCAGGCAUGGAUGGGCCCUUGGAAAACAUUUGAUAAGGCACAGAGUGACCUUUGCUGCUCUACUGACCCAAAGGUGCAGAGAGAAAACACGGGCAGGGUGAGUGGGGACAGAGCUGGGCACAGGACAUGGAGAGAAAGCAAAGAAGUGUUACCUGCUGCAUCCUGCACUAAGGGAACGUCACUUUUUACUGGAGUUGGAGUGGCAACGAUGGGCGAAAACCCAGCGGUGCUGGCGGCAGGCAUGACAAUGCCUCUGCUGGCUCCCAGAGUGGCACUGAGCAAGGAGUACGAGAGACAAGACGGAGAGAAGAGAUAGGGGAGGGUGGGAAGGGGAGACCUAAGCAGGGCUUGUGAGAAAGAUGGAGGCAGAGAUGGUGGUGGAGGUUGUGGUGCAGGGUGGGUUGCAUCAUCGGCGGCAGCAGUAGCAGUAGAAGGAACCAGGCAGCCUGGAGAAUGUGGAGAGAAAAAAAGCAGAAAAAAAAAGAAAAGAAAAAACAAUAAAACCAAACAAACAAACAAAAAAAAAUAUACAAAAAACCCCAAACAAAACAAAACAAGAAACAAAAGAACUGAAAUGAGAACCCAAGAGCAGAAGCAA